AUGCAAUCCAGCAGGGUAAUGUCUUAUGUUUCCAAUUUAGAAGGCCAUUUGGCUAGUAACCACAAAAUAGGACCUUUUGUUUCUCAAACUUUUUUUGGUGUGUGCGCAUUUAACCAUUCAAAAUAAUUUAUAGCCAUGUCACGAUUUAAAUUGUAACCCCAAAAUAAAACACUGUAUUAUUCGCAGAUAACACUGGAGCAGAAAUCUGAAAACAAAUACCGGCUCUUGCAAAUGGACAGUAACAUGCAUUGCUAAUUAUUUGCUAACAUGUUCCUGGAGAGUUGAAGAGAUAACUGUGUUUAACCAAACAUUUACCGAAGGCAGAGUUCCCCUGGAUACAACGUUUUACCUUAUGAAUGAAUAGAAAAUAAAUUAUUUCCAUGAAGGUACAAGUGAAAAUGUUACAUGCUGGUAGACACAACUUUUAUUGUUGUUCUAGGAAGCUAAGAGUCAGGUUGGAAUAGGCAAAUAUAUAAGGCAAAGCCCCUACAAUAUUUGGAGGAAGUCCCAACAAUCAGACGAUCCUAUAUGAGGAAGUACUGGGCAAGAGUGGGAAGGGAAAACUCCCUUUUAAAAGGAAAAAAAAAAAACCUCUGGAAGAAAAAGGCUCAUAGAAGGGUGGCCAUGUUAUAAAACAAACUACUCUAACUGAGCACUCAAAAGGCUUCAUCCACCCCAAACACAUUCACACAAGCCCUUUGUUGAACAUGUACACACUCACACGUCACCAACGGCUGCAUCAGGGGCCAAAUCACUGAAGAAGCAUCCUUCUCCCAGCCUUGGAAAACCAACCAGCUCUACCUCCAGAGCCACAGUCAGGUCAUUUGCUACAAGCAACUAUGGAAGGGGAAAAAAGAAAAAGGCAAGGAUAAGGAUAGAGGACAGAACACACACUAUGGGAGAAAAGUGUGUGUGUUGACUCCCGUCAAAAAGCUAAUACAUUCAGAUGAAAGGUGUGGUAAUAAAAACACAAAAUCCAAAAAAAAGUUUUCUAUAAUUGAAAGAUCUUCUGCCUCCAGACCCACUCUUCUUCUCCUCCACCAAGAUAUUUUAUUUCAGAAACUGUCAUUUACUUGCGUCAGAUAUAAGACGAUCAGUUAUCAUAGUUCACGUAGGAAAAAAAUAAUAAAUAGCUGUACCUAAGGAUUAAUGCAAACAGUCAUUCAGCUGGCGUGCGGUUACAUUUAUAAAUCUCGGUGAAGAAAAACUGUUUUGUGGCCCUUGUUCCACCAGUUUGCCUCAUAACACAA
Astatotilapia calliptera (eastern happy) is the source of this 1250-nucleotide long non-coding RNA. The record is from Ensembl. Lineage: Eukaryota; Metazoa; Chordata; Actinopteri; Cichliformes; Cichlidae.